AACUUUCAACAACGGAUCUCUUGGCUCUGGCAUCGAUGAAGAACGCAGCGAAAUGCGAUAAGUAAUGCGAAUUGCAGAAUUCCGUGAGUCAUCGAAUCUUUGAACGCACAUUGCGCCCUUUGGUAUUCCGAAGGGCAUGCCUGUCCGAGCGUCAUUA
This 157-nucleotide ribosomal RNA is filed under the name Placopyrenium breussii. RNAcentral describes it as "5.8S ribosomal RNA". It matches the Rfam family "5.8S ribosomal RNA". From Rfam's summary of the family: 5.8S ribosomal RNA (5.8S rRNA) is a component of the large subunit of the eukaryotic ribosome. It is transcribed by RNA polymerase I as part of the 45S precursor that also contains 18S and 28S rRNA. The record is from RNAcentral. Lineage: Eukaryota; Fungi; Ascomycota; Eurotiomycetes; Verrucariales; Verrucariaceae.